AAGUGAAAAUGGUCGGAGAGCAUAGAACAGAAGCUCUCAGGAUCUCCAAUUCGAGAGAUAUAAAAGAGUUGAAGGCGAGUUACAAGCGACAAAUGCAGCAUCCGACACUUGGACUAAGCGCAUUUAAUGUUGACUGUCAAAUAAGAAAACGAAAAGAGUGUAACAGUACAGAUCGAGUAGCGAAACGACCGAGAGAGAGAUCGAUUCAGGAUUGAAUAGAUUGAAAGCAACUGAAAUUCUCUUCCGAGAAAAUGAAUUGAAGGCAACCAACCUCUUUUUCCUCCUUGUGGCUGUGGUGAUUUUUUAUUUGCUUGUUUCCUCCGCAGCAAGCUAAAGCUUUCGCUUUCUUUUCUUUUUUUUUUUUUUUUUUGUUUUUGUUUUUGUUUUUCUCUCUUACAAAUUCUUUUAGUUCAUGUCUUUGUAUUGAUUAUUUAAUAUUAAAUUAAGACUUUUGAAUUAAUAAUUUAUUCCUUAAUUCCUAGUUUGGUGUUUUUGACUCCUGUACACAUAUAUAUAUAUAUAUAUAUAUAUAUAUAUAUACACAAACAGACGCAGUUAAGCAGUUG
Molecule: long non-coding RNA, 566 nt
Filed under: Carica papaya (papaya)
Lineage: Eukaryota; Viridiplantae; Streptophyta; Magnoliopsida; Brassicales; Caricaceae
Description: long non-coding RNA (CPAP_LNC009176)
Source: RNAcentral